Molecule: ribosomal RNA, 254 nt
Filed under: uncultured bacterium
Lineage: Bacteria
Description: partial 16S ribosomal RNA
Rfam family: Bacterial small subunit ribosomal RNA
Source: RNAcentral
CUUUCUUUGCUGGCGACCGGCGCAUGGGUGAGUAACACGUAUCCAACCUGCCCUUUACUCGGGGAUAGCCUUUCGAAAGAAAGAUUAAUACCCGAUAGCAUAAUGAUUCCGCAUGGUUUCAUUAUUAAAGGAUUCCGGUAAAGGAUGGGGAUGCGUUCCAUUAGGUUGUUGGUGGGGUAACGGCCCACCAAGCCUUCGAUGGAUAGGGGUUCUGAGAGGAAGGUCCCCCACAUUGGAACUGAGACACGGUCCAA